RNAcentral lists this ribosomal RNA (253 nucleotides) under uncultured bacterium. RNAcentral's name for it is "partial 16S ribosomal RNA". It matches the Rfam family "Bacterial small subunit ribosomal RNA", at positions 524 to 776 of the family's 1533-position model. The record is from RNAcentral.
UACGGAGGGGGCUAGCGUUGUUCGGAAUUACUGGGCGUAAAGCGCGCGUAGGCGGAUUGUUAAGUCGGGGGUGAAAUCCCGGGGCUCAACCCCGGAACUGCCUUCGAUACUGGCAAUCUGGAGUUCGAGAGAGGUGAGUGGAAUUCCGAGUGUAGAGGUGAAAUUCGUAGAGAUUCGGAGGAACACCAGUGGCGAAGGCGGCUCACUGGCUCGAUACUGACGAUGAGGUGCGAAAGAGUGGGGAGCAAACAGG